GAUGAAGAACGCAGCGAAAUGCGAUAAGUAAUGUGAAUUGCAGAAUUCAGUGAAUCAUCGAAUCUUUGAACGCACAUUGCGCCCCCUGGUAUUCCGGGGGGCAUGCCUGUCCGAGCGUCAUUACAACCCUCAAGCUCAGCUUGGUGUUGGGCCCCGCCGCCCCGGCGGGCCCUAAAGUCAGUGGCGGUGCCGUCCGGCUCCGAGCGUAGUAAUUCUUCUCGCUCUGGAGGUCCGGUCGUGUGCUCGCCAGCAACCCCCAAUUUUUUUCAGGUUGACCUAGGAUCAGGUAGGGAUACCCGCUGAACUUAAGCAUAUCAAUAAGCGGAGGA
This 329-nucleotide unclassified non-coding RNA is filed under the name soil metagenome. RNAcentral's name for it is "partial contains 5.8S ribosomal RNA, internal transcribed spacer 2, and large subunit ribosomal RNA". The stretch from base 1 to 120 matches the Rfam family "5.8S ribosomal RNA", at positions 35 to 154 of the family's 154-position model. The record is from RNAcentral.